AUGAGCGGGCUCAGGAACCAAGAGGAGCCGUCCGCCCUGUUCAGACGGCCCAAGCAGGGGCACGGCCCAGUCCUGCACCCCCAUGGAGCAGCUCGGUGCCAGCGCGAGGCGUUCGUUAGGAGCUCCAGGGCCAGGAGCCCGCCUGCGGCCGGCCUUCCCCGUGCUGCCUUCCCGAGUCGCCGGGGACUGUCCGAGCUCUGCGGCUUUCUCCGAGGAACAGAUGCCAGCCGGUACCCCGGGAGGCUGCGGUGUGUUUUUAAUAACUCGGGGUGGGGGGGGGUUAAUAACUCGGGGGUUCCCGGUGGCAGAAGGCUGAAAUCCGUGUCAAGAGCUCGGCUCCACAAAGGCACCCCUGGGCUGGGGCGAGGGCGCAGCUCGGGCGCUUUGUGGGUGAAGCCAGCGCGAAGUCCUCGCCUCGCUGGGGCUGAAGUCCCUUUGUCACACUGCUGGCUGCAGUGCAGUGAAAGGCUGUGCUGCAGCUCGCCUCUGCUGCCGCCUCGGAAGCUGGAGCCUGUGCCCUGCGAGCGGCAGGCACCGGGCGAGCGGCAGGCACCGGGCGAGCAGCAGGCACCGCGGGCUGCGGCCCUUACCCCCCCCCACGGCACCCCCUGGCUGCAGGCUCCGGGCUGCUGCGGGAGCAGGGCCAGCAGCACGCCCGGUGGCGGCCCGGCGAGGCAGGAGCAGGACACAGGAGCAGGAGCAGGCGCGGGCCGUGCUGCGCAGAGCGGGCCUGGAGCCGCCGUGUGCUCGCCGCCUGGUCGCGGAGGGCGGCCCCCUGCAGCCGCACGUUUGUCCCUGCCUCCCUCCGGCAGGGCUUCUCCAAGGCUCCUGCCCUUGCAUCUGCGCCUUCCCUGCCCUUCCCGCAAUAAGCGGUGGCUCCGCAGCGCAGUUUGUGCCCGCGCCGCUCCGGAGCCCCUCUCUUCUCUCCCCGUGCCUGCCUGUCCCGCUCGCCGCCUCUGGCCCCAGUGCCUCCCCGCUGACCGCGGCCGGGCUCCGGUCGCGGGCGUUCUCAGGAAGCCGCCCGGCGCCCCGAACGCAGCCCUGCUGGGACGGGGCGCCCUGCCGUGCCCCCCGGGCCGCAUCGCCGGCGCUGCCAGGAGCCUCCUCGGCCUCGGCCGGAGCAAGGGGAGCACGGAGGGAGGAAGGAGCCGCCGGAGGAAUUCCAGAGUGAAACACGACCCCGGCUUCCUGCGGCAGCGCUGGCUCCGGCCUGGGGAUUAG
This is a long non-coding RNA of Anser cygnoides (Swan goose), 1221 nucleotides long. Lineage: Eukaryota; Metazoa; Chordata; Aves; Anseriformes; Anatidae. The record is from Ensembl.